Molecule: ribosomal RNA, 497 nt
Filed under: uncultured bacterium
Lineage: Bacteria
Description: partial 16S ribosomal RNA
Rfam family: Bacterial small subunit ribosomal RNA
Source: RNAcentral
GACGAACGCUGGCGGCGUGCCUAAUACAUGCAAGUUGAGCGCUGAAGGUUGGUACUUGUACCAACUGGAUGAGCAGCGAACGGGUGAGUAACGCGUGGGGAAUCUGCCUUUGAGCGGGGGACAACAUUUGGAAACGAAUGCUAAUACCGCAUAAAAACUUUAAACACAAGUUUUAAGUUUGAAAGAUGCAAUUGCAUCACUCAAAGAUGAUCCCGCGUUGUAUUAGCUAGUUGGUGAGGUAAAGGCUCACCAAGGCGAUGAUACAUAGCCGACCUGAGAGGGUGAUCGGCCACAUUGGGACUGUGACACGGCCCAAACUCCUACGGGAGGCAGCAGUAGGGAAUCUUCGGCAAUGGACGAAAGUCUGACCGAGCAACGCCGCGUGAGUGAAGAAGGUGUUCGGAUCGUAAAACUCUGUUGGUAGAGAAGAACGUUUGUGAGAGUGGAAAGCUCAUCAAGUGACGGUAACUACCCAGAAAGGGACGGCUAACUACGUG